Molecule: unclassified non-coding RNA, 329 nt
Filed under: soil metagenome
Description: partial contains 5.8S ribosomal RNA, internal transcribed spacer 2, and large subunit ribosomal RNA
Rfam family: 5.8S ribosomal RNA (bases 1-120)
Source: RNAcentral
GAUGAAGAACGCAGCGAAAUGCGAUAAGUAGUGUGAAUUGCAGAAUUCAGUGAAUCAUCGAAUCUUUGAACGCACAUUGCGCCCCUUGGUAUUCCGAGGGGCAUGCCUGUUCGAGCGUCAUUUCACCACUCAAGCCUGGCUUGGUGUUGGGCGACGUCCCCUUUGGGGACGCGCCUCGAAACGCUCGGCGGCGUGGCACCGGCUUUAAGCGUAGCAGAAUCUUUCGCUUUGGAAGUCGGGGCCCCGUCUGCCGGAAGACCUACUCGCAAGGUUGACCUCGGAUCAGGCAGGGAUACCCGCUGAACUUAAGCAUAUCAAUAAGCGGAGGA